Molecule: non-coding RNA, 539 nt
Organism: Rhincodon typus (whale shark)
Lineage: Eukaryota; Metazoa; Chordata; Chondrichthyes; Orectolobiformes; Rhincodontidae
Source: the annotation of a RefSeq genome assembly
AUUUAUGUGGCACAAACACAUGACCAGGAAUCUGAGCAGCAGCGAUGCAGUUCUCCAUUUCCAUGUUGUUCUCGGUGACAUUCAUUGUCGAUCUGAGCGAUGGAGUUUCUGUUACUCAGCGGGAGCCCUCAUUCACGCAAACAGAGGGAGAAUAUGUCACUUUAACCUGCACGUACACUGGUAAUGUUUACUACUUGUUCUGGUACCGCCAGUCCCGUGGAAGAAAGCCCGAGUUCGCAGUCCGGAAUCUCGAGAGUAGUGGUGAUGAAUUUAAGGCGAAUUUCGCUCAGAAACGGUUUUCUGGUAAGGUCCAGCAGUCCAACAAGUUGUACCGAUUGACGAUCUCGGAUCUGCUGCUGUCUGACACCGCUGUCUAUUACUGUGCAGCGAGCCUCACAGUCAUGGGAAAAAGCGACAGUCUCAUCUCGCCAAUUACGGCAGUGGCAAUCUCUCGAUUGAACAAUUCGGAACAGAUUACCCACAGCAAAAUAGAACAGUGGGCUGUCAAAUGCGAUAUCAAAAGAAAGAAGAAGGCGUGA